AGUGGCAGACGGGUGAGUAACGCGUGGGAACCUUCCCAAUGGUACGGAAUAACCCAGGGAAACUUGGGCUAAUACCGUAUACGCCCUUCGGGGGAAAGAUUUAUCGCCAUUGGAUGGGCCCGCGUCGGAUUAGCUAGUUGGUGAGGUAACGGCUCACCAAGGCUACGAUCCGUAGCUGGUCUGAGAGGAUGAUCAGCCACACUGGGACUGAGACACGGCCCAGACUCCUACGGGAGGCAGCAGUGGGGAAUAUUGGACAAUGGGCGAAAGCCUGAUCCAGCCAUGCCGCGUGAGUGAUGAAGGCCUUAGGGUUGUAAAGCUCUUUCGACGGGGAAGAUAAUGACGGUACCCGUAGAAGAAGCCCCGGCUAACUUCGUGCCAGCAGCCGCGGUAAUACGAAGGGGGCUAGCGUUGUUCGGAAUCACUGGGCGUAAAGCGCGCGUAGGCGGACUGAUAAGUCGGGGGUGAAAGCCCGGGGCUCAACCUCGGAAUUGCCUUCGAUACUGUCAGUCUUGAGUCCAGGAGAGGUUGGUGGAAUUCCUAGUGUAGAGGUGAAAUUCGUAGAUAUUAGGAAGAACACCAGUGGCGAAGGCGGCCAACUGGCCUGGUACUGACGCUGAGGCGCGAAAGCGUGGGGAUCAAACAGGAUUAGAUACCCUGGUAGUCCACGCCGUAAACGAUGGAAGCUAGCCGUUG
RNAcentral lists this ribosomal RNA (696 nucleotides) under uncultured Hyphomicrobiales bacterium. RNAcentral's name for it is "bacterial SSU rRNA". It matches the Rfam family "Bacterial small subunit ribosomal RNA", at positions 94 to 825 of the family's 1533-position model. Lineage: Bacteria; Pseudomonadati; Pseudomonadota; Alphaproteobacteria; Hyphomicrobiales. The record is from RNAcentral.